Molecule: long non-coding RNA, 886 nt
Organism: Syzygium oleosum
Lineage: Eukaryota; Viridiplantae; Streptophyta; Magnoliopsida; Myrtales; Myrtaceae
Exons: 2
Source: RefSeq, a predicted model, not a curated record
UGUAAUAAUCCAUGCCAUCAAAAUAACACCCGAUUCGUCGUUCGAGCAAACGAAGAAUGGCUACAUUGGAACAUUGACCGAUAUAGCUUAGGUACCAUAUCGAACAAAUUCGAAGUCUAGGAAAGACAUUUCGCGAUGAGCCAAAAUUCAAGGACCGUUCAUCAAUUUCGAACACAAAAAACUCGGGAACGACAGCGACAUGUGAUAUUCAGAGCGGCUCUUGGAGCUUCACCACAAACACAGCUCUCGGACCGGAAAUCUUCAUUGGAAUCAUCUUCUUUGUUAGCCUGUGUUGAUGUUUAUGUGCUGUGGCUAUCUGAUGCGGAAAUGAUCUCUAUCUUGUGAGUGUUGCCAAGAGAAAUGGUCCCGGAAGUCCGACCGCUCCUUUUCAGCUCUAAUUCACCGGAAAAUCGGCCAUCGAGCUCACGUGGUAACAAGAAAUGUUCAGAAGAAAUGCUUCGUCGAAAUUUCGUGCCCCGUGGAAUAAUUCAUUCGAGAUCGAGUCGAGUCCAGAAGACAUGUUCAGAUUUUGCUCGUCGUUGUCGCAAAACUGGAGCGUGUUAUCACGCAGCGGACGAUAAAGGUUGCCGAGAUGUAUGAUUUGAGCGCAUGGGAAUCGAUAUCGGCUGUUCCUGCAGCUGAACUCUUGGUUCUAAGAAUGUAACGAGUGUUAGAACUAGUAUGCUGAAUUCUUGUCUGAAGUUCCAAUACAGUUUCGACUCUUGCAUUAUAGGAGGGGCUAGUCAUGUUGUCUCGAGACUUGUAAUCGGCUAAGAACGGCGCGAAUAUCUCUCCAACCGUCACGUUACGUAUCAUAAGAUCGCCAGUCGAGCCCUGAAAUCGCUUUUGAUCGAUGAAACUUGUGUUGCUCUUCAGGGUGUUUGUC